AGCAGCCGCGGUAAUUCCAGCUCCAAUAGCGUAUAUUAAAGUUGCUGCAGUUAAAAAGCUCGUAGUUGAAUUUCGGGACCACUAUGUCGGUCGUGCCUCGGUACGUACUGGCAUCGUUGGUUUCUCCCUUCUGACGAACCAUGAUGUCAUUUAUUUGGUGUCGUGGGGAAUCAGGACUGUUACUUUGAAAAAAUUGAGUGUUUAAAGCAGGCUCACGCUUGAAUACAUUAGCAUGGAAUAAUGAAAUAGGACGUUUGAUUCUAUUUUGUUGGUUUCUAGGAUCGACGUAAUGAUUAAUAGGGAUAGUUGGGGGCAUUAGUAUUCAAUUGUCAGAGGUGAAAUUCUUGGAUUUAUUGAAGACUAACUACUGCGAAAGC
This 377-nucleotide ribosomal RNA is filed under the name uncultured Glomeromycotina. RNAcentral describes it as "SSU rRNA". It matches the Rfam family "Eukaryotic small subunit ribosomal RNA", at positions 569 to 952 of the family's 1831-position model. The record is from RNAcentral. Lineage: Eukaryota; Fungi; Glomeromycota.